Long non-coding RNA from Hipposideros armiger (great roundleaf bat), 171 nucleotides. RefSeq lists it as uncharacterized. The transcript has 3 exons. The record is from RefSeq and is a predicted model, not a curated record. Lineage: Eukaryota; Metazoa; Chordata; Mammalia; Chiroptera; Hipposideridae.
AUUGGGUCCUUUGAGAAGGAGGGAAAAGAAAACACUCCAAGAAGCAGAAUGAGCCGACACAAGGUGGAGGCUCUUUUUAUCUCUCCAGUCCUCAACAUGAAACAGAACACAAGGGCAGAAGUGCAAACCUGGACUCGUGAUUUUCGUCACCAGGUUCCCCAGAGAGCUGAU